Molecule: long non-coding RNA, 860 nt
Organism: Onychostoma macrolepis
Lineage: Eukaryota; Metazoa; Chordata; Actinopteri; Cypriniformes; Cyprinidae
Exons: 3
Source: RefSeq, a predicted model, not a curated record
CUUGAAGAUCAAUCUCAUUUUGCAGCUCAGAGAGCAGAAGUAGAACCCUGCAUGUACCUGAGUCCAAAAGCAUCAAACCCCCGAUUCAUUUAUUAGAGAAUUUGGCAGAAACCUACCGCCUCGAGAGAGGAGAGUCUGUGCUAUUACAUUGCUUGAUACAGUAACGUAAUUACAUUUUGAGCAGCCAGAGUGCAGCAGGAGGCCUGAGGUAUGGAACCCUGAAAUGAAUGUUCAUUUGACUCAAAUCAUACCGAAAGUCAAGCUUAAGGGGCCAUCAGUGCUAUCCAGCAGAGUCAUCCGUUGAAGGAGCAGGACUGUUUGGAUACAUUCUGAAGCACCAUCAUACCCUCUGUGAACAAGCCUGAGUCUUUCUCAGCGUAUUUUCAGGUCAUUAUUAUAAUACGGCUGUACCAGAGUCCUGCGAGAGCAGGGACAGGGAUCCAUGGCGCUCAAUUACAGGAAUGUGGGAGACAGGACGGAUCUGCUUUCCUCUGUUAUCACCAUCUCAUUAAAAUGAUGGGAAUAUUAGAUCAUAGCCUGUCAUGCCUUGUGCUGUUUUUUCCCCCCGCUUUGCUGCAUACUGACGUGUAAAGCUGAGACACAUCACUCCUCAGUGUAAGAAACAUGAAAUGAAUAGCUUGACACUUCACAUCACACAUCAAGACAAAUGCUGUGAUGAAGGGAAUGAGUGACCCAGUCGAGAGAUGAGGUUGAGGGGUCAGGAGGCUGACGUCUGGAAAAGAAAAAGGAGAAAAUGCUUCUCAAGAGCUAAUACAACAGAGACAGCAUGUGAUGCCACUGGUUAUGUCAGGUGACUCUAAUGGCAACAUUUUAAAAGAAAAAUAAAGGAGACGAGACUG